AUAACCACCUAUCCAUUCCAUCUUCUCCUAUUCAGUCCACCCUACCCCCUAAAAAACUCUCUCUCUCUCUCUCUCUCUCUCUCUUAUUUCGCCGUCCCAAAUAUCUCUCCGUUGCAAGAUCUACAGAGAAUAUGAGUUACUACAACCAGCAACAACCACCCGUUGGUGUCCCUCCUCCUCAAGGUUAUCCUCCAGAAGGGUAUCCAAAGGAUGCUUAUCCGCCACCGGGGUACCCUCCACAAGGGUAUCCUCCACAGGGCUACCCUCCGCAAGGCUACCCUCCUCAAUAUGCCCCUCAGUACGCCCCUCCUCCCCCUCAACAACAACAAGGCGUCGGCGGCGCUGGUUGCCUUGAAGGAUGUUUGGCUGCUCUGUGCUGUUGUUGCCUCCUUGAUGCGUGCUUCUAAUGUGUGUAGCCUGUGGUGAGAGGUGCGGUUCAAUUCUAAUGCGUACACUAUAUCUGAGUACUCAAAUUUGUGCAUCACAAUGGUUUCUGCCUUUCUUAUGUUUUUUAUCAAAUAAUUGGAAUGUACCUUUUCUUAUGCUUGUGGAUUUUUACUUUGGAUUAGAAGUAUUUGGUUUUCAUUGCCAUCAUUAGAUAUGUAAAUUGUGAGAGAUUUUCUGAUUUGUCUAUGGAAAAAUACAUUUGACAGCUAUCUAUCUUUAGAAUUUAUGCUUAAUUGUGCUUUGUUAAUUUCCUUGUGGUUAGCUUUUUGUUCAAUAGAAUGCUGGAGAAAGCUUUUGGGUUUUUUGGUCCAACUUGGAGAAAAUGUGGUGUUGUGGUGUGUCCAUUACGGGUCAUGCCCACAAAAGCUCAACAACACGGUCCAAUUUUCUCUUGGCCCUUUUUUUGGUUUUGUUUUUGAAGGUUGGAUGGUGUGGAUGAUUCCCAAUGUUUCCAUUCUUCUCAUGUGCUUACUCUUUGCUUUGGGCAUUGUUACUUUGGUUGUUUUUUAGGAAUUAGAAAGCAUGUAAAAUCAUAUGCAUUUUAGUAUAUUGUGUUUUUUAAGUUGGAUUCCAA
Camellia sinensis is the source of this 1021-nucleotide non-coding RNA. NCBI's taxonomy places the organism in Eukaryota, Viridiplantae, Streptophyta, Magnoliopsida, Ericales, Theaceae. The record is from RefSeq and is a predicted model, not a curated record.